This 460-nucleotide ribosomal RNA is filed under the name uncultured bacterium. RNAcentral's name for it is "partial 16S ribosomal RNA". It matches the Rfam family "Bacterial small subunit ribosomal RNA", at positions 338 to 795 of the family's 1533-position model. The record is from RNAcentral.
CCUACGGGUGGCAGCAGUGAGGAAUAUUGGUCAAUGGACGCGAGUCUGAACCAGCCACGUCGCGUGAAGGAUGACUGCCCUCGGGUUUGUAACCUUCUUUUAUAUGGGAGUGAAAUAGUCCACGUGUGGCAUUUUAUAUGUGCCAUAUUAAUCAGGAUCAGCCAACGCCGUGCCAGCAGCCGCAGUAAUACGGAGGUUCCAAGCGUUAUACGGGUUUAUUGGGGUUAUAGGGAGCGUAGGUGGAUUGUUAAGUCAGAUGCGAAAGCUUGCGGCUCAACCGUAAAAUUGCAGUUGAAACUGGUAGUCUUGAGUACAGGAGAGGUAGGUGGAAUUCGUGGUGUAGCGGUGAAAUGCGUAGAUAUCAGGAGGAACACCGAUUGCGAAGGCAGUCUACUGGACUACAACUGACACUGAGGCGCGAAAGUGUGGGUAUCAAACAGGAUUAGAUACCCGGGUAGUC